This is an unclassified non-coding RNA of Callithrix jacchus (white-tufted-ear marmoset), 300 nucleotides long. It matches the Rfam family "Metazoan signal recognition particle RNA". Rfam says of the family: The signal recognition particle (SRP) is a universally conserved ribonucleoprotein. It is involved in the co-translational targeting of proteins to membranes. The eukaryotic SRP consists of a 300-nucleotide 7S RNA and six proteins: SRPs 72, 68, 54, 19, 14, and 9. The record is from Ensembl. NCBI's taxonomy places the organism in Eukaryota, Metazoa, Chordata, Mammalia, Primates, Cebidae.
GCCUGGCGCGGUGGCAUGUACCUGUAGUCCCAGCUACUUGAGAGGCUGAGGUGGGAGGAUCGCUUGAGCCCAGGAGUUCUGGGCUGCAGUGUGCUAUGCCGAUCGGGUGUCUGCACUAAGUUCGGCAUCAAUAUGGUGACCUCCCGGGAGCGGGGAACCACCAGGUUGCCUAAGGAGGGGUGAACCGGUCCAGGUCGGAAACGGAGCAGGUCAAAACUCCAGUGCUGAUCAGUAGUGGGAUUGCACCUGUGAAUAGCCACUGCAUUCCAGCCUGGGCAACUUAGUGAGACCCUGUCUCUA